Molecule: regulatory RNA element, 87 nt
Rfam family: PyrR binding site
About the family: This family represents the PyrR binding site and terminator structure. This RNA structure is found upstream of a variety of genes involved in pyrimidine biosynthesis and transport.
Source: Rfam
UAACCUUUUAAAUGAAGUCCUGAGAGGCUUAUAAGGGUGUAGUACAAAGUUUUUACACCCUAAUCAUUUGGUCAGGGUGUUUUUUUU